Molecule: non-coding RNA, 93 nt
Filed under: Malacoplasma iowae
Lineage: Bacteria; Bacillati; Mycoplasmatota; Mycoplasmoidales; Mycoplasmoidaceae
Also listed under: 1 other name
Description: Mycoplasma iowae TPP sequence
Rfam family: TPP riboswitch aptamer (THI element)
About the family: Vitamin B(1) in its active form thiamin pyrophosphate (TPP) is an essential coenzyme that is synthesised by coupling of pyrimidine and thiazole moieties in bacteria. The previously detected thiamin-regulatory element, thi box was extended, resulting in a new, highly conserved RNA secondary structure, the THI element, which is widely distributed in eubacteria and also occurs in some archaea. Analysis of operon structures identified a large number of new candidate thiamin-regulated genes, mostly transporters, in various prokaryotic organisms.
Source: RNAcentral
UGUGUUAUCAGGCGGUGCCAAUUAUUGGCUGAGAAAUACGCUUAUGACCUGAUCUAGUUAGUACUAGCGGAGGCAUGGAUAUACAUAUUUUUA